RNAcentral lists this long non-coding RNA (1269 nucleotides) under Salvator merianae (Argentine black and white tegu). Its description in RNAcentral is "lncRNA (ENSSMRG00000008765.1)". The record is from RNAcentral. Lineage: Eukaryota; Metazoa; Chordata; Lepidosauria; Squamata; Teiidae.
CCCCCAGCUUACUCAGGCCCCCUCGGUGGCAGACUCUGCCCCAUUCAGGGGGAAGCGGUGUGGGUAGGGGCAAACGGAAGCUCCUCCGCUGCCCCCAACUCAGCGCCCUCCACGGCUCCAAGACCUGGAGAUAAUUCCAAACACUUUAUGCUACCGGCUGNGCCGGGGCGGCAUUCCCCCCCGCUUAAGAAACAGUCACCUGUGAGGGUGGGCAGCUGAGCACGUGAACUCAGUCCACCAAGGGGAAGUGAGGGGGCUUUGAGCUCACACCAGCUGCAAAGGUCCCUUUUGCCCGUCCUGCAAGGACCACCAGGUGUGAAGAGACCUUGCAACUUGCCUGCCAUCUUGUAUGAGCUUUAACCUUCCCUCUUCCUCUCUCGCCUGUCCUUCCUCCCUAUAGUGAACGGCCCUGGCUUUGGAUUGUCUCCCAUUUACCCAGGUGGUGUCCCCGGGCAGCCAGCCUAUGGCGGGAAACCUCCCAANCCCUAUGGCAUCUUGGGCUACAGAGGGGUGGGCCGCAAGAAGAAGUAGCCCCGACAGAUGGCACAGCGAUCACCUCAUGAACUUUGGUGCUACUGCGUGGUCUCGAAUGUACCCCUGCUUCGCCCCGCCCUGGGAAGAGCAGACGCCACCAGCUUCACGACCGCCCUGUGUCUUGCCCCACGCACCCCCUCCCCCCCGCCCCCCCUCUUCUGGUGCUACAGCCGUCCUUCCUUCGGGAUCACACCCAGCCACCCCCCUACCCCCUGGGGGCUUUGGUGCUGCAGCCGAGGGGGGCUGCUUCUGAGAGGGGGCUGCCAAGCACUUUAACCAGGCCUGUGUCCCGUGCCCACCCACGCGGAUCGGCUGCCAAGGCCAGUUUGCCCCGCUCGCUUCCCGGCCUAACUACGCAGCCCCCCCCGCCCCCCCCGGGGCCUCCUAAGCGCCGUGCCGGAGCCGCCGUCUCCUCCCUCCACACACACCCCGCCAGGACCAGGGGGAUUAACCUGGAUUCCGCAGCUGCCGGGUCCUAAACCGGAUUAGCCAGCCAGGCUGCACUCGGCAUCCCCGAUCCGGACCCCGGCGGCGCCUCCUCGCUCCGAACCGCACAGAGAGGUUGUCCAGGAAGGUCCGGCCCGAACCCGCGCCACGUUUCCGAUGUUUAAUCACUUCCGUGUAACUGGGAUGGGACACUUUUUAUAAAGAAGAAAACAGUAACUGCUUUCCAAAAAUAAGAUAAAAUUAAACAUGACUAAUAAAUAACUUUUUAAAGGAGAAANCUCUCUCUCU